AUAUCUUUUAGGGAGAUACACUGCAGCCUGCAACAGUCAUGUUACCCAGGAAACAGACUCUGAGAUUGAGAUUUGCUUGCAGGGGAUUUGUAAUGGAAUACACUGGGGAACAACAUCCUUAAGGGAGGGAGGGAAGCUGGAUUAAGCUGAAAGAGAAGUUGAACUGCACUGCAGUAUAAUGGAAGCUUCAGGAAAUUCCACUGGGAGCUCUGAAGCUGGGAAGGCUUUUCAGAGAUGUUCAUAAUUAAGAUAGGUGGUCCAGGCUUUUGUACUCCUGCAUCAUCCAGUCAUUGGAUGUAGGCUGCCAUUGGAGAGGGGCAAAGCAGCUCCCUUUAGCCUAGGACAGGUCCCAUAGAGGGACAUAGACCAGGAUUGUCAGCAAAUGUGGGAAUGAAGGUCUUGGUCCUGGAGGGAAGAUCUGGGAUGCCUUCCCCAGCACCCAGCAUAUCAUGCUUUUUAAAUAGAGCUCAAAAAUAAGCAAAAUGAAACACCAUGUUAUUAUUUCAUAUAUAUUUUGAUAUAAGCAUAUAUAUUUAAAAGCAGUAGAACGAUAUACAACAUUUAGGGCUGUGCUUACCUUUGGAGAAUGGACUAGGGAUUGGACAACUGAAUUUAAAGGCAAGUUAAAGUUCAAUAUUUUGAACAAUGUUUAAAUCAAGAUGAGCGAGAAGACAGAACUGUUAAAAGGUUUUAUUUUACAGCCAAGUGAAGGAUUCAGCUAUGUCCCAAAGGAUUAAACAAGAUGGUAUGCUUAAUAA
Molecule: long non-coding RNA, 758 nt
Filed under: Homo sapiens (human)
Lineage: Eukaryota; Metazoa; Chordata; Mammalia; Primates; Hominidae
Description: HSALNT0362477
Source: RNAcentral